Molecule: ribosomal RNA, 492 nt
Filed under: uncultured bacterium
Lineage: Bacteria
Description: partial 16S ribosomal RNA
Rfam family: Bacterial small subunit ribosomal RNA
Source: RNAcentral
GAUGGACGCUAGCUACAGGCUUAACACAUGCAAGUCGAGGGGAAACGACAUCGAAAGCUUGCUUUUGAUGGGCGUCGACCGGCGCACGGGUGAGUAACGCGUAUCCAACCUGCCCAUCACUUGGGGAUAACCUUGCGAAAGUAAGACUAAUACCCAAUGAUAUCUCUAGAAGACAUCUGAAAGAGAUUAAAGAUUUAUCGGUGAUGGAUGGGGAUGCGUCUGAUUAGCUUGUUGGCGGGGUAACGGCCCACCAAGGCAACGAUCAGUAGGGGUUCUGAGAGGAAGGUCCCCCACAGUGGAACUGAGACACGGUCCAAACUCCUACGGGAGGCAGCAGUGAGGAAUAUUGGUCAAUGGGCGAGAGCCUGAACCAGCCAAGUAGCGUGCAGGAAGACGGCCCUAUGGGUUGUAAACUGCUUUUAUAAGGGAAUAAAGUGAGAGUCGUGACUCUUUUUGUAUGUACCUUAUGAAUAAGGACCGGCUAAUUCCGUG